CCCCCUCCUUGCACCUAGCAGGGAGAGGAGUGUGCGGAAAGAUGGAGUUGAGACAGAAACUUGUUAGCAUAACACCGAAGGAGUUUUGCUGUGAGUAGCAUCAGCAUAGCAGGAGAACAUCCCUAGCUCUCCUGCCGCUGCUCUGCCACAAGGAGAGAAAGGGAAAAGCAAAUUCAGCAGGACCUCUAGGACUUUGCUGUAGAUCUCCAGGUGGAGCCAGGACCCUCCAGGAGAACUGAUGGCUAGAAAAGACUGCAAGUAAUGUGGAGGAAGGAAGAAGAGAGAGAGCAGAGAGAGAUGAUUCUUGCAAACAUUGAUCUGUGUAGAGCGGAUGUCAACUUGAUGGGAUAAGACCUGGGUUGACUUGGUAUCUGGGUUCAGGUCAGCAAACUCUAACGGCAUUUCCUUCUACUAGCAGACAGAUCUGCUCAUCCUGCGACAUUGUGGACAGUGCUGAAUGGCUUCCAGAACAUUCCUCUUAUGUCUACUGGUUAAACUUUGAAGCAUCUGAACCAUUUGGGAGAGCAGGGACCCCCAUGAACAGGAGAUACUGGAGGUGUCUGAGGCCACUUCAUGCCCUUUCUCAAGAGUGGCCUGCAGGUCUUUCAGCCACUGGCCACUGAAGUCCAGCUCCUGCCAGCCAUGGAUUUGGGCACUGGGCUCCAGUGUUGAGAAAGUUCUUGACUUCCAGCGCUUGUUUUCCUAGUGGACAAUAGGAGUCAGAGACAGAGAGGGAGAGUGAAGAUGCAGAAGACAUAUCCUUUCCAUUGUGACCCAGAUAAGAAUGUAGCCGGUGAGCUUGCUUCCUGUCACUCAUUUCCCAGCUAUUUGUUGUAGUCCAAGUUGUGCAUAUUCUUUCUGUUAGGUUCUUAUGUUUGUCUUAAGCUCACCCAUCUUUUCUUCUUCCCUCAUUUUUUCUUUAUAAAUCAAGAAAAAUUCUGCCACUUUCUUUCCCUGGCUCACUGCACAGCCAAUCAAUAAUUUUGAAUCCUUUGUGUAUCAAUUUCUACUGGCUAUUCAUUAUUUGUGGAAACCAUAUUAACGGGUCCAUAAAAAUCACAGCAAUCCAUUUGUUAAAUUCAUCAUAAGAACAGAUUACAUCUUUCUGGCCAAGUUUCAUGGUUUGGUAAUAUCAUAUUUUGGUUUUAGAAUUUAUAAGGUGCAUUCUCCCAUACUUUUCAAGUAUAUUUUUUAUUCAUUGCCCUCUCUGAAUUAGGCAUUUUUGGGGAUGCACGUUUUACAGAUAUGGAGACAAUGGUUCAGAGAAAUCAGCUUGUUCACAGUGGGGCCAGAGCUGGGACCUAGGGCUUCUGACUCUAUGUCUCAGGUCAUUCCUAUCACACACACACUGAAGGAGAAAAGAGUUCCCUUGUCUGGAGAAGACAUAUCAAAUUCAUGCGGGUUAAACACAGAAAUUCCAAAUAGCUGUAGUUUUUGUAAAAAUGGUUGAGCUAUGGACUUUUAAAGUAGUUGGCCACCUGUGGUGGUGGGUGGAAGGGAGUUAGGGCAGGAUUGUUGUGCUUCAGGGAGGAUUCAGUGUCUGCACGACCACGGAGGGGGGUGCAGGGCACCAGGUAUCCAGGACUGUUGUCAAGAGUUAUGCUUUGAAUUUCCCAGAGAAGACACACUGCUGCGAAAGGAAGAAAUCGUUGGUUUUUCUCCAACUGCUUAGCUGUUAAGAAGCAAGAAGCCUAUCUCCAAGGCAGCAGCAGGCCUCAGAGAAAACAGUAGGACCCUUCCUUCAAACAAAGGAGAAAACUCCCACAACUCAAAGCAAGUGCCCCCUGGUCAUUCUCUCAAAAAGCUACAGGCUCCAAAAAAAGACAGACUUCACAGGCUAGAGACGGGCUCUGCACUCAGGGUUGGUGGUCGGGGGCACAGAGCUGGCUGGGCAGGGCCAGAGGGGACCACAUUCUGCCACAUGCAGAGCAAAGCAGUAUCUUUCUAUUACUGGUCAAUGUAAUAUGAGCUGGGAAUGAGCAAUUUCAUACCUUUUUCUGAGAUAUUAAAAAGAAAUACGCUGAUGUGGCUGGAGGUAAUUUCCCAAAGCCUGUGGAUGGAGUUGAUGUCAGUAACUGGCUAUGAGGUUGUUAUUUACAGGACUGUUUGAUCCCACUGAAGUAGUGGUGCUUAAUAUGUAGCUCAAUGUGGCUCAGGAGCGAGGCCCAAUACUGCAUAUAAACCACCAUCCUGCAAUUUAUCCAGAGAGCAUGUGGGAGGUGAACCUUGAAUCAUUUGCUUGAUGGAUUUUUUUCUUUCCUUGGAAACAGAAAAACGAAUCUCAGUUUUCUCCCUAAGCCUUAGGCAACAGGGCUCCUUGCAAGUCACCUUCCCUUCCUUGUCCCCAAAACAAAGAUGCAUACAUGUUCCCCGAGCACUGCAAACACAGCCUUUCUUUCAGGGGCAGCUGGGUCCCUGGAUCCGCUUUCCCUCCCCUGGGCUGGUCCCAGUGUAAAUCAUCAGAUCUCCAGGUCCACUCGUCUGCACACAGGCUGCUUUGUAAGUGGGAGAAAGAAUCCACAGAACUUUACACUAAAUCCCCAUGGGAACCAGGUGAAUAGGUGUGUGUGUUUGCACACAAGCCCGUAUACAUGGCAAACCAAUCCAAGAGAUGGUGACCGAUGGGUCCAUAAAGACUCUGGCUGGCAAUGCUGUCAGCUUCCUUCAGCUGAGCGUCAGUUAGUUACCCUGGUAGUCUCAAAUGUCUCCUUGUGUCUGGAGACAACAUAGGGCCUGGCCCUGAGGACUGCCAGGCUGGGUCGCCCGGCAGCUGCACCUGUUGUAGGCUGGGUAGGCCCCCUAAAAUGCUUUGGGCAGCCCAAGAGUGUCUUCCUGAGUCAUGUGGAGCUGCCUCACCAGCAGCCCAGUGAGAGAUUCACAGCCCUAGUGGAGAGUGGAAGCCCUGGGCUAUCCCAAGCAAUCCUUGCGUCUGUGGGGCUGGUGCCGCCCCUUUGCGUCUCUUCUUGCAGCUAAGCAGAGCUCAGAGGCCAGGAAAAAAGCCACUGGGUGUCUUUGGAAACAGCUGACCUGAUUUUCAACAUUCCCUUUGAGCAUUUGCUAAAGGGGCACCACAGAAGGGCAUUAAGGAUGCCACCGUGGAAGGAAGCUGCAGAUGACAGAAGCGUGAGCACUGCUGGAAAAUGAGAAAGCUGAGUUGGGACUGCGUGCCAUGGAGAACCUGUACUGUCACCCUCCCCAGCCAUCUGACUACCAGCAGCUUCAGCAGCAUCAUCAUUUGCAUUCAUUCAUCUCUUUUCCUCACUCCCUCCCUCGAUGAAUCUCUUUGGGAAUGAUCUUCAAAAACUUUGCUUAGGUUUCAAGGUGCUUUUGAUUCACUGUAUUUUUCUUUAAAUAAGCCUUUUAAUUGAGCACAACGUUCAUAGAGAGAAGCGCACACAUCCUGAGGGGUCAGCCCAAAGAAUUUUCAGAAAGUGAACACGUGAGGGUGGCAAGCACCUGGACUAGGAACCAGAACACCGCCAGCGCCCCAGAUGUGCCCUUUUAGUCCACUUCUAGUCACUGUGCUCCCAUGAGGGUGCUCACCCUACCCUCUAGUACUGACAUUGAUGUUGCUUAUUUGUGAACUUCACUUGAAUGAACUCAUGCAACAGCGUGUCUGUGAGGUUCAUGCACGUUUCUGAACGUGGGAUCGCUGAAGUGUGGGGUUGUAUUCGAAACUGUAGUUUGCACUCAAAGAACAGCAAGUGGAAGAAAAUUACUUUGGAAAGGAAUUUUCAAAUCGAGUGUGAAUGAGAGGGUCUUUGGGACUUUGGCCUUUGGAGUUGAGCUGACCUAAAGGUAGAAGGUGAACUAGGAUCCUCUUAGCUCCCCACUCCACUCUGAACUGUGCUCCCAGGGCAAUCCAGCUUCUGCUCUCUUUUACUACUACUUCAUGUAAUGAUAAAAAUUAUGUCAGGUUAAAUAUCAGUAAUUGCUUAAGUGAGUUUGUAUAUCAAGCUGUGUAGUAACGCCUCACUGAAACACUGCUCAGCUGAGACUGAGAUUCAGUGUGUUGACGAAAAGAGUUAAACUCUAACAUAUUUGAAGAGAUUUAUUCUGAGCCAAAUAUGAGAGACCAUGGCCUGUGACACAGCCCUCAGGAGUCCUGAGGACAUGUGCCCAAGGUGGUUGAGGUACAGCUUGGUUUUAUGUAUUUUAGGAAGGGAUGAGACAUCAAUCAAAUACAUUUAAGAAACACAUUGGUUUGGUUCAGAAAAGGCGGAACAACUCAAAGUGGGGAGGCUUCCAGGCUAUAGGUAAAUUUAAACAUUUUCUGGUUGAUAAUUGGUAGAGUUUAUUUGAAGGUCUGGAAUUAAUGGAAAGGAAUGUUCAGGUUAAGAUAAAGGACUGUGGAGACCAAGUUUUAUUGUUCAGAGGAAUCUCUCAGAUAGCAGACUUCAGAGAGAGAGCAGGUUGUAAAAUGUUUCUUAUAAGACCUAAAAGGGUGCCUGGCUCUUAGUUGGUUAUCUCCUGGGUCUGGAAAGAAAGGAAGGAAAACAAACGGGGAAGGAGAUUCUCUGUAGAUUGUGGAUUUUUCCCACAGAGACUUUGCAGGACAAUUUCAAGGCAUGGCAAGGAAAUGUAUUUUGGGGUAAAACAUUUCGAUUUUCUUCCUUGUUAUGCCAGAGUCAGAUUGGAAAGUAAGUCACUAUAUACAGGGUCAAAUAAAACCCAUCUGAUGAGAAUUUAUGGUUUGUAGGGUAUGACUCCCUAGACCCCUUAGAUAGGAAUUUGGGCAAGAUAAAAAAAAUCAGAUCUUAGUCCUCAAGUGUAAAGCAGAUCAAUUGAGAAUCCAAAUCUGCAGGGUAUAAGGUCAGACGCAGUCAACCGAUGCAUGAACCAAGAAGCAUUUAUAGAAGCCUCUGGCGCUUUUCCUUUGCUCACCUCUGUCCACAGGCUCUGAACUAAUUCCUUCAUUUUUUUUUAAAUUUGCAAAUAAGAUUACUGUAUUAUAGAUUUGAAGAUGCACCCAAUUAUUUUAUAAGCUUUUUUUUAUGUAACACUAAGAAAUUAAAAAAAUGCUGAAGGUGCAGUCUAGUAGGAGACCCUGCAGCUGAAAUGCUGAAGUCAUUCUUUGUGUGCAGGAAACAAGAAAAAAGCCUGCCAUGCAGAAAGUCACUGAGAAACCUGCUGGCCUCCAUGGUGGCACGUGGGGGAGGGAGGAGAAGAAAACUCCUGAAAGAAUGUGGACCACACAGCAUGCUCUGGUGGGUAUGUGGGCUGACAAAGAACAGGGAGCGCUAACAGUGAAAAUGAAGAGCCUGCCCCGCCUCCCAGCGUGGACCUUGACCUGGGGCCAGACCAAGGCCACUUUAUAGAAACGUCCCUGGAGCGUGUCUCAGGUGGCCCUGCCUGCAUCCUGGCCUACCUCUGGGGCCCUUCUUACCCACAGUCCUACUUUCCACCCACCUUGACCCCAAGAGGUGUUCAUUUAUAACGCCCCUGCAUCUUCUCAACUUCAAAGUCAGCUCGGACCUCGUUCACCCAGACAAGACCUUGGCUGAGUCUUGACAAACUGGCACAGGGUCCCCCGACAGAAGACAGCUUUCCUUUCUCUUUGCUUUCCUUUAUCUUAGCCGAGUCCGGCCUCCCCAGCACUCUUUUCCAUCUGGGGACAGUUCGUGCUGGUGGGAAUUGGCAGGGGCACACGGUCCAGACAGAGACAACUGAAACACAGGUGUCCCGCUGGUGUGCCAGCAGGGCGGCCGUCCUACCAGGAGCAGGACACUUUGUUGGCCACUGCCCAUGCAAUAAUCAGCGUGGGACAAACAGUCCCAUGGGGAGUGAGGUGAUGUGAAGAAAAGGAAGCCGAAGAAGAGAAGAAGCUGAAGGGCCAGUAAACACACACAUAGACGCUCACCCUCCCCUUCGUUGGAAAAAUGAACGGCUGCUGUUGCCGAGGGCUGGUGAGGAUGAGGCCCCAGGCCUGCAGGAGGGCACAUCCGGUUGGCCGCCUCGACGGGGCCAUCUGGGUAGCUGCUGCCCUUUGCAUGUAAAUAAAGCUCCUCAAAGCCCCAUUUCACAACUGCUGGGAGAAACAGCAUCCUUCCCUCCUUCCCUAUAUUUCCAGGGAGGAGGUGGCUGGUUUUUUUUGUUGUUGUGUUUUUUUUGUUUGUUUGUUUUGUUUUGUUUUGUUUUUUCCAGAUUUCUCCCAGCCACAUCCAGCUUCUUGUUCUGUAAUUUUUUUUUCCAAAUUACUGACUGCCUUCUUUCAAGGGGAAAUGGAACUCAGAAAGAUGGGAAGAUACAUGAUAAGAGCACUUAAGAGAGAAGCCUGUCCAUUUCCACUAAGGUUGAAGUGUGCAUACUCCAGGAUCCAGUCCUUCAUGUCUACACAAGGAGUCCCAGGAAAAGGUCUGUGCAAAACGUUUGUAAUUGCAACGGAGCAGCCACGACCUAGCCCUCCUUCAGCAGAGGAAUGAAUAAACUGGUUUAUUCAGUCAACGCAGCAGUUAAAAUGAGAGAAUUAGUGAUGUUGAAAGGAAAAAUGAAGAGCAAACAGAUACAGUAGGAAGUUAUCACGUACAUUUCAAAAACAUUCAAAACAACCGUACAUAUUUAUGGAUUCAUGUAAUAAUGCAGUAAAAAUACAAAAUCAGAGCCAGGACUGUGGCACACUGAAUUCAGCACAAUGGUCGUCUCUAAAUGUGGGUUCAUGUGGGAGGAGGUGACCCCGGGGUGGGGGCUUCUGCUGUAUUUGUCAUGUUUGGGUUAUUUGAAAGGGAGAGAGAGCACUGUAGUUAUACAGUAAAAUGCAAACAUAUUUUUUAUUUUAGUGGUGAGUAUACAGGUGUCUGUUGUGCUGUUUUCUGUGUGUUUGAAUGGUUUCAUAAUUUUUAGAAAAUUAAACCAUGAGGUCGGAUAUGGUGGCUCACCCCUGUAAUUCCAGCACUUUGGGGGGUCAGAGCAGAAGGAUUGCUUGAAGACCAGCCUGGGCAACAUAGCAAGAUUCUAUCUUUACAAUUUCUAAAACAUUUUUCAAUUUAAAAAUGAUAAACAAUGAAAAACUGCAAAGAAAUAGAUUGAAAAGUUCACAGUUGCUUUUGCCACAUUUUGUGAAUAUGUUAUUUUUAUAAUGAAAAAUUACAGAUAAUUUUGAUUGCUUUGAAAAGUAAUUAUGUGGAAAAGAAAAACAAAUAGCAAACCAUGGCAUAGUUCCUGAGGCCUGCAUCUUUCUAGCAGCCUCUUGGCAAAUCGGGAGCUCUUUGUGAGGUGUGAUUACCAAAACCCGCUGGAAGGGUAUCAGCACCACCUCACAAUGAACCCAGUGUUGCUAAUUCUGACGCCAAUAUUUCCACAGGACUCAGUUGAUGGAAUCUUCCUGAAUGUGUUAUUUAUGGUACCAAAUGAAAAAAGACCUCAUUUACCAGCCACACUCUAGGCUGCAAAGAGACAGAUUUUUAGGCAGGUUCUUCAUUUUAUUUUUGCCCCAUUUAAAACCAGCAUCUUUGUAGUAACCAAAGUUAAUUCAGGGCACAUUUUGCUGCAUUAGGUCCUGGGCCUGUGAUCACUAAGACCUUUUGAAAUGUAAAUAAAGCUCCCAAACCCCCAUUUCACAAAUACUGGGAAAGCCAGGCUCCCUCCCAAAUUUCCAGGGCGGAGAGGCGCGCGUUAAGAUUCCUCCCAGUCGCCUCUAGCUUCUUGUUUCGGAAUCCCUGCCCCAGAUUACUGAUCGUCUCACUGCAUUAUCUUCCUGAAUUUGUGUCUCCUUCAGGGGGGAUACCUCCCACCUCAAGGUGUGAGAAAUUGGGGCACCCAUGGGAGAGAUGGAGGUGGCUACAUUACUGCACCCCAAAACCUCCUGAAGAUAAACGUCACAUAUCCUUGCAAUCAAAUCCCCGGUUGUUAAACGCCCUCUGCUCUCCUUGCCGGCAGGAACUUCCCAGUAGCUCUUUCCCAAGUGGAACCUCCCCUGUCAUUUUGUUUGUUUGUUUGUUUGUUUGUGGUUUUUCAUCUGGGUUUUGUUGUUGUUGUUGUUGUUGUUGAGAAGGAGCCUCGCUCUGUCACCCAGGCUGGAGUGCAGUGGCGUGAUCCUGGCUCACUGCAACCUCCGCCUCCCGGGUUCAAGCGAUUCUCCGGCCUCAGCCUCCCGAGUAGCUGGGACUACAGGCGCCCGCCACCACGCCCGGCUAAUUUUUUGUAUUUUUAGUAGAGACGGGGUUUCACCGUGUUAGCCAGGAUGGUCUCGAUCUCCUGACCUCGUGAUCCGCCCGCCUCGGCCUCCCAAAGUGCUGGGAUUACAGGCGUGAGCCACUGCACCUGGCCUUGGUCUAGGGUCUCUUAGUCUUUCACUCUCAGGCACUUUGAGGAAAUGUAUUAAACAGGACAAUUUUGUUUUAAUAGUCUCACUCUUGGCUUUGCCGCACGAGCUAUGUUUUUGUUUCUAAAACAAAAAUAAGGUUUACCAAAACAAGAUGAUCCUUAAGGAUUUGGCUAAAAAAGAAUUCUCUAUGCCAAGUGAAACUAUGCCUGCGGAAGUUAAAUUCUCACCACCCUCCCACUCUGCACCAGCCCUGCCACCAGCCUCACUCCUUGAAAGUCUAGUUUGGGAAUCAGAACAUAUCCAGAACAAAAUGGAACCAUGUUGUGCUAGGUGUCAAAUGAAUGAUGCAAGCAAGAAAUGUUGUAGGCAUUGGUAUGGCAUGGAGGAGAAAACUAAGGCCUUGUACUACCUGCUCAGGAAGGUUAGGAAAUGACAGAAACGGAAACCGAGUUUCAAUAGCAGCAUCUCUGAACUGGCUUUUUGUAUUCUCGGGCUGAUUUUGCAGGCUGGUAGCAGUUCCCUGUCUAGAAGAUACAAUGGACCCAGAGCCAUCAGCUGCUUCCUGGGGGAAGUGGUGGUGGCUGGGGAGGGGGAUCGUGAUUCUGCUGCAGGAUAAUUGCCAAGGACAGAGGGAGGGCUGUGUUCUCCUGCCUGAAGAUGGAAGUAAAGGAACAUUUUAACUGGGCAAAACCCUUCAAUCCUAGCCCAGCUGAGCAGGGAGUUGGUUUUCGAAAGCAGAGCUAUACGGACAGCCCCUGUGCCGGAUAUGACCUCCUAUAUUAAGAAAAAGUGGAAAAAACAGAACUGAAAGGAGUAGAGAUCUUCCUACAGUGCCAAGGCAGGCUUUAAGUCAGCUUUAGAAAUAAAUCAGCUGUGAGCAAAUAACACCUCGCACAGUGCUCGGUCCUCAGCAACUACUCAGUUAAAGUCUGUUGAACGGAUCAGGGAUAACUGAACUCAGGAAUCUAAGGAAUAAGCAUGAUAUAAUUAAUUGCAGCUCUGGUCUUAAGAUUUCCUUGGGUUUCACCCCUGGCUGAGAUGAUACCACAAGGGAGCCUCUCUGUUGCCUCCCGCAGCCCUGCCCUGAGCUGAGACCCAUCUGUAGGGCGUCAGGGCAGGAGGCGGCUGCAGCUUUCCCCAAAGAUGAGUGAGCUCACGCCACAGCUUGGAGAAAGGAGGCACGAGCACAGUCAUGUUACCGAGGCCAGGGCAGGGCUGAAGCCCCCCUCUCUCCAUAGCCGUGUCUUACUAUGACAAGGAACAAGUUUUUUCUCCACUUUUCCCUCCACUCCUAGGUUCAGGUCAACAUGAGGGUGACCAUCGCCAGGGUCAGUGCAUUUGGUAGGAGACCAGGGACCGUUUCUGGGAAUGUCAGGAAUCUUGUCUUUCAAAUGCUCACUUCACUUCACAGCCCCUGCGAGUGCCCUGAACCUUUGCAAGGUAUGUUCUAAGAAAGGGAACAAGGCCGGGCGCGGUGGCUCACGCCUGUAAUCCCAGCACUUUGGGAGGCUGAGACGGGUGGAUCACGAGGUCAGGAGAUUGAGACCAUCCUGGCUAACAUGGUGAAACCCCGUCUCUACUAAAAAUACAAAAAAUUAGCCAGGCAUGGUGGCGGGUGCCUGUAGUCCCAGCUACUCGGGAGGCUGAGGCAGGAGAAUGGCGUGAACCCGGGAGGCAGAGCUUGCAGUGAGCCAAGAUCGCGCCACUGCACUCCAGCCUGGGUGACAGAGCGAGACUCCAUCUCAAAAAAAAAAAAAAAAAAAAAAAAAAGAAAGAAAGAAAGGAAACAAAUGAGGAUGAGAGGAAACAGCUAUGAAAUCCUCAGAAUCAGGUUCCACCAGAGAUCCAAGCCCCAGUGCAGGAGUGGCCCCCUGUUCACUGGCUUUCUCCAAAAACGGCACCAGUGGGGGCCAGACACUUCACGUCUGGGCUGAGCAUCUUUCCAAGCACGAACUGCCCAGCCUAUGGAAGUGCAGGGCGCAUGAGAGAAGAGAGGAUUUAUUCAACGACACAGAGUUCUUAUUUAUUUUUACUUUAGAGGACCAUCCAGAAUGCAUUUCCACCCUGCUUUCCUUCUGUGGCUGCUACUGUAGCUCUUAUUUAUACCAUCAUCCCUUAAAACAAGGUGAAGUAGAUGUGGGACUUGAAAGAAUGAAUUGUGCGGCCUUGAGCACACGGUUGUUCAGCAGAGGUGCCCUUCCCAGCCUGCCUGGUGCUGUCAGAACCAUGGCUGGAGGGAGUGCCUCCCACUGUCCUCAAGUCCUCCCUGGGAGGUGACCAUGUCUGUUUCAUUUGUGCUGAUCCCUGAAGGAGACACAGAGGGCAACGGAGUAACUAUUGGUGCAAACCAUCGGAAUAAGAUGCUUAUUUCAAUGUUGCAAUGGAAGUCAGAAUUUUCUGGUCAAUCUGCAAUAUAAUUUAAGCUAAUACAAGCCUGCUAUUAGAAUUAACUAGAUAGAGAGAGGGAUAGUGAGCGGGGAGAUGGCCCAUUUGAUCAGCAGAGCUUCUUGAAACUUGGAUAUGGUAAGAGGGUUGUGUGUCACCCUGAGUGACAGAGGUGGCCCCACUUGGUAUUGUGUAAAAUCACUAGCCAAUGUUGUAUGGAUGAUGUCACCACUGACAUGUACGCAUUCCUGUCGUCUCUUGCCUGCAAACUGAUGGUGAGAUACUUGUGGUAAAAAUUAUUUCUCAUGCAUCCUUCAUGCUUAGCAAAGUGCUGCAUUGACUUUUGCUUAUUUUGUGGAUGUUUGCCAGUGAAUCUUUGACCCAGAAUUGGAAGCAGAACCCAGACAGGUUGGCUCGUCUUACGCAAACCACUGGUGCAGGUUUGCACUGAGUGGAACGUAUCCACUAAUUAGCCUAGAGAUAAAAAUUCUUAGGAGAUAAACUUCAUUAUGGAAAAUUUCAUUAAAUUUUUAUAAAUAUUGAGAAGGGAAAUAGUGUAGUAUAAUCCUCCUGUAUUCAUCAUCCAGUUUAACAAUUGUCACCUCAUACCCAAUCUUUUUUCACCUGUACUGUCCCCCACCUGGAUUGUUUUGUAGCAAAUCCCAGACAUCGCAUCAUUUUGUCCAUAAAUAUUUCAGUAUGCCUCUCUAAAAUAGUAAAACUCUUUACAAAAUAACCUUAAUAUCAAUAUUGUACCUAAAAUAAUGAACAAUAAUUACACAAUCUUAUCAGAUAGUUAUUGAAUUUUCCAGUUUUGCUGAUUAUCUUAUAAAGUUUUAUAAUGGUUUUUUUCAAUUGACAAAAUCAGGACUUCACCAGAGCAGGUAAAAUCACUGAGAUGGUUCUUGGGUCUCUGAAGUCUCUUCUAAUCUCUACUGUUUCUCUUCCUCACCACCUGUUUGGAAUGUUGUGAGGUACAUGGAUGUGCUUUGGUCAAAGAAUAGGCCGAGGCGGACACCCAGGCCUGCAUGACUCAGUGAGUUUCGCGUGCCAGCGCACACCUCCACUUGUUAUAUAACCUGUUUGUGUAAGUUCAUACUUGGCUCUGAGCCACUAUUGUCUGUAAAAGGUAUAACUGUCCUGGUGAUGCUGUACAGAGGCUCUUGGCUCUUGGGGCUCAGCUUUGCCUCAACGUGGCUUCACGUGGCGGGCACCCUGGUGCCCAGAGAGAGAACCAGAGCUGUCCGUCCUGCAGAUGGACACAGGGGAGCCACAGCACGGCUCGCGCUGGUGCCCAGAGAGAGAAAGAGUGAAGCUGCUGACCCUGAAGGCAAGGCAGAGUCUGCCAUGCAGCUGCAGAUGUCGGGGUGACAGGAGCCGCAGAGCCGGAGCAAACGGCUGAGAUAAGAGCGGACAGCGUGAGAGAAGCUGCCCAUGAAAGCGCUGGUGUGAAAAAGCUGUUAAUGAAAGCGGCUGCUGAAUAAAACCAUAUUCACCUGCCUAGAGCUCCCCAAGCGUUCUUUCCGCUCAUCCACCCACUCCCCUCGGACCGCAGCAUGGGCUGGACCUGGACCCCAGGAUCUGAAAAAUGUAUUUGUUGAAGAAAUACAAUUUUUGUCCUGUAGAACCUGCAAUUUGCUAAUUGCAUUUAUGUGGUAUCUUUGAACAUGUCUCUGUCCUCUGUAUUUCUGGUAGUUAGAUCUCGGGUCCAAUGUCUUUGUCAAGAAUACUUCCCAGAUGGUGUGUGUACCUCAGCUGCAGGACCCUUAUGCUUGGUUGUUGCCCAUCAUUACCAUAGGUUAUUUCAUCAGAGGUGGCAAAAUGGUGAUUUUCUAAUUUUUAAUUCAUUUUUUCCUUUAUUUUGUUUGCUGGAAUACUUCUAUAAAGAGAAACUUUCCCUCAUCAACUAUUUGAUGAUGUAAGGUGCAGUUUAUAUAAAGCCAGAUACAUGCUGGAUUCUUUUCCCUUACUGACCAGUUUUUAAAACGAGUUGGUUUCCUAGUCUCCUGCAACCAGUGAUUUUGAUACAGAAUGGUUGGGCUCCUGGCUAAACCCCACCCUUGGGCCUGGAGCCGCAGCCCUAAGUGAAAACAGCUGACCCCGUUUUCCACCCAAAUGUUGCCUUUUUGGCCUGCCAUGCCCCUAUCCUGUGCCCAUAAAAAGACUUCAGCUGGCAGAGCAACACAAGCGGCUGAUGCAAGGGGUCGGGGAUGCAAGCUGCUGAACGUAGGGGAUGCAAGCGGCUGAGCAUCAGAGACUACAGAUAGACGCAGCUAACCUCAGACGGUGCAGCUUCAGGGAAAGAUCACCUUCUUCCCGCACCAUCCCCUUUCCAAUUCCCCAUUCUGCUGAGAGCCACAUCCAUCGACCAAUAAAAUCCUCUGCAUACACUACCCUUCAAUCUGUUCCUGUGACCUAAUUCUUCCUGGACACCAAACAAGAACCUGGGUGCCGAGAGGGCAAGGGCUUGGAUGCUGCUGUGGGGCCUGCGCAGAGUCUGCUCUCAUCAGAGAGGAGCGACCAGCUGUUUCCAGCAUUUGUUCCCUCCAGUUCCAGCACUCACCUGCUCACACGCUCCCUCUCGCGAGGAGUGGCCAGCAGCGGGCUGAGUGAAAUGCGCCACUCCAGUUCCCGCCUACAAAGCAUGUCAAGGUCAAGGGAACAAUCCCGUCUCAAUUUGUUGCAGUAGAUAUUGCUCUUGGUUUUGAGUAUCGGUAUGAAGGAAUGGACUUAAACAGAGGAAUGUGUUUUCUUCCGUUGCUAUUUGUGUUCUUAUUGAUGCUCAAGUGGUCACAUUUUCAGCAAGAGGCAGCCUUAGCAAUGUAACAUGAAUGAUGGCUUUGAUUUACGUAGUGAUGAAAGUGAUGUGUGGUUGUGUAGACAUCAUCUAUGAUGAUCUCAUCCAGAAGGGCCCUCAGUGACAGCCUCUCAUGUGUAAGGGACUGGCCAGAUCCCAUGCCACAAGGAAUUUCUUUAUGGCCUCAUCACCUAUUUGUCUGCUUCAUUCACACAAGUGUGGUUCAGAUGAAUGAAUAAAUGGAUGGGUAAACUUCUGUAGGCCACCAGGCAAAAGUUACAUUAUGUCAACUGCUCCUGAAUACAUGUGGUAUAACAACCAUUGGUAGUCUUCAUAAGACACUAAGCUGAGGCAGUGAGGUAGAAGUGGCAGGCAGGAAGAGGGUAAAAAUAUGUAUUGAGGCCAGGCAAGGUGGCUCACGCCUGUAAUCCCAGCACUUUGGGAGGCCAAGGCAGGCAGAUCACUUGAGGUCAGGAGUUCAAGACCAGCCUGGCCAAGAUGGUGAAACCCUGUCUCUAUUAAAAAUACAAAAAUUAGCCGGGUGUGGUGGUGGGCGCCUGUAAUCCCAGCUACUCAGGAGGCUGAAGCAGGAGAACCGCUUGAACCCCGGAGGUGGAGGUUGCAGUAAGCCAAGAUAGCACCACUGCACUCCAGCCUGGGUGACAGAGUGAGACUCUGCCAAAAAAAAAAAAGAAAAAUAUAUAUAAUAUGUAUUGAGUGCCUGUUUUGUGUAAGCAGGGUUCUAGUCAUUUAAGAUGUACCUGAAUAAAACAAAGAGCCUUACUCUCCUAGAACUUGUGUUUCUACCUGGGGAGACUGUCAGUAAACCAUCCACAAAAUAAAUACAGCAGAUGCUGUUAGAAGAUGAUGGUGCUAUGGUGUGCUGUGGAAAAUAGAGAAAGUAGAGGGAAGUGAGAGGGAUUGCGUACACUAGGAUUGUGACUUUACACAGAAGGGUCAGUGGUGCCAUUUUAGCAAAGAUCUGAGAGAGGUAAAGGAAUAAGCUUUGCAGAAGUGUGGGAGACAAAUGUUCCAGGUACAGGAAAUGACCAACGCCAAGACCCUAGGGUGGCAAUGUGUCUGCUUUGAGUUCUAGAGAAGGGGUAUAUUAUACAUCGCUUUUUGUGACUCACUUUUUGGCAAACAUUAUGCUUCUAAAAUGAACCUGUAUUUUGGAAUAUAUCUGUGGUUCAUUAAUUCUCAUCUUUGUACAGUAUUCUAUUAUAUAAAUACACCAUGAUUUAUUUAGUCAAUUAACAUUUGGGUGAUAUCUGGUUUUUUUGCUAUUAUAAAUGCUGCUAUGGGCCAGGCACAGUGGUUCAUACCUGUAAUCCCAACACUUUGGGAGGGUGAGGUCGGAGGAUCACUUAAGCCCAGGAGUUUGAGAUCAGCCUAGGCAACAUAGUGAGACCUCAUCUCUCAAAAAUAUUUUUUUUAAAAUUAACUGGGCAUGGUGAUGUGUACCUGUAGUCCCACCUACUUUGGAGGCUGAGGCAGGAGGAUCACUUGAGCUUGGAGCUUGAGGCUGCAGUGAGCUAUGAUCAUGCCACUGACUCCAGCCUGGGCGAUAGAGUAUGACUUUGUCUCAAAACAACAACAACAAUAAUAAUAACAGCAAUUAAAAUGUACUCUGUGAACGUCAACUAAUAACUACAGUCAUUUUCACUGGCCAAAGAGAAAGGGACAGGUGUAGGCUGAGUUCAUGCCCAGUAAAACUAAGUGGCACUGCAGUUUCAAGAAAACUGCACAGAAGCAUGAAUGAAGGGACAGUGGAAAGGAUGCUGGAUGAUCAUGAGACACAAUGAUACAGCAGCUGCUAUAGCAACUUAUUUAUGUUGGGAGUGGCUAUUGGUAUCAGUAAAACAAUGCCACUUGUCCAUAACUUUAACAACUUAACUUUCAUUGCUUUUGUAACUUUGUCCUUAAUUUUUAAAUCAGUUUUUGUUUUACAGCUAUAAAAUAACUACCCACAAAAGAACAUUAUUAUAAAAAUAAAAAAG
This 15445-nucleotide long non-coding RNA is filed under the name Homo sapiens (human). RNAcentral describes it as "non-protein coding lnc-PXDC1-15:8". The record is from RNAcentral. Lineage: Eukaryota; Metazoa; Chordata; Mammalia; Primates; Hominidae.